GCCUCCGUAGCUCAGUUGGCCAGAGCAACCGCCUUGUAAGCGGUCGGUCGACGGUUCGAAUCCGUCCGGAGGCU
RNAcentral lists this transfer RNA (74 nucleotides) under Anaerolineae bacterium. Its description in RNAcentral is "tRNA-Thr". It matches the Rfam family "tRNA". From Rfam's summary of the family: Transfer RNA (tRNA) molecules are approximately 80 nucleotides in length. Lineage: Bacteria; Bacillati; Chloroflexota; Anaerolineae. The record is from RNAcentral.